GAUGAACAACGUAGCGAAACGCGAUAAGUAAUGUGAAUUGCAGAAUCCAGUGAAUCAUCGAAUCUUUGAACGCACAUUGCGCCCGCCAGCAUUCUGGCGGGCAUGCCUGUUCGAGCGUCAUUUCAACCCUCGACCUCCCCUUGGGGAGGUCGGCGUUGGGGACCGGCAGCACACCGCCGGCCCUGAAAUGGAGUGGCGGCCCGUCCGCGGCGACCUCUGCGCAGUAAUACAGCUCGCACCGGGACCCCGACGCGGCCACGCCGUAAAACACCCAACUUCUGAACGUUGACCUCGAAUCAGGUAGGACUACCCGCUGAACUUAAGCAUAUCAAUAAGCGGAGGA
RNAcentral lists this unclassified non-coding RNA (343 nucleotides) under soil metagenome. RNAcentral describes it as "partial contains 5.8S ribosomal RNA, internal transcribed spacer 2, and large subunit ribosomal RNA". The stretch from base 1 to 120 matches the Rfam family "5.8S ribosomal RNA", at positions 35 to 154 of the family's 154-position model. The record is from RNAcentral.